RNAcentral lists this ribosomal RNA (275 nucleotides) under uncultured bacterium. Its description in RNAcentral is "partial 16S ribosomal RNA". It matches the Rfam family "Bacterial small subunit ribosomal RNA", at positions 335 to 607 of the family's 1533-position model. The record is from RNAcentral.
UAGCCUACGGGAGGCAGCAGUGAGGAAUAUUGGUCAAUGGCCGGAAGGCUGAACCAGCCAAGCCGCGUGAAGGACGAAGGUGCCAAGCAUUGUAAACUUCUUUUGUCAAGGGACAAAAUCAGGCUCGAGAGCCUGACCGAGGGUACUUGAAGAAAAAGCAUCGGCUAACUCCGUGCCAGCAGCCGCGGUAAUACGGAGGAUGCGAGCGUUAUCCGGAUUCAUUGGGUUUAAAGGGUGCGCAGGCGGGCCUUUAAGCCGGCGGUGAAAUCGCGGGG